CGCGUAGGCGGCCAGGUAAGUCGGAUGUGAAAGCCCUCGGCUCAACCGAGGAUCCGCACCCGAAACUGCCAGGCUGGAGUCUAGGAGAGGAGAGCGGAAUUCCCAGUGUAGCGGUGAAAUGCGUAGAUAUUGGGAGGAACACCGGUGGCGAAGGCGGCUCUCUGGACUAGUACUGACGCUGAGGCGCGAAAGCUAGGGGAGCGAACGGGAUUAGAUACCCCGGUAGUCCUAGCCGUAAACGAUGGGCACUAGGUGUGGGAGGUAUCGACCCCUUCCGUGCCGCAGCUAACGCAUUAAGUGCCCCGCCUGGGGAGUACGGCCGCAAGGUUGAA
RNAcentral lists this ribosomal RNA (332 nucleotides) under uncultured bacterium. Its description in RNAcentral is "bacterial SSU rRNA". It matches the Rfam family "Bacterial small subunit ribosomal RNA", at positions 568 to 898 of the family's 1533-position model. The record is from RNAcentral.